GACGAACGCUGGCGGCGUGCCUAACACAUGCAAGUCGAACGGAGCAGAUCCCUUCGGGGGUUUGCUUAGUGGCGAACGGGUGAGUAACGCGUGAGGAACCUGCCUUUCAGUGGGGGGACAACAGUUGGAAACGACUGCUAAUACCGCAUAAUGCUUUUUGAGCGGCAUCGCUUGAAAGCCAAAGAUUUAUCGCUGAAAGAUGGUCUCGCGUCUGAUUAGCUAGUUGGUGAGAUAACAGCCCACCAAGCCGACGAUCGGUAGCCGGACUGAGAGGUUGAUCGGCCACAUUGGGACUGAGACACGGCCCAG
This 309-nucleotide ribosomal RNA is filed under the name uncultured bacterium. RNAcentral describes it as "bacterial SSU rRNA". It matches the Rfam family "Bacterial small subunit ribosomal RNA", at positions 28 to 334 of the family's 1533-position model. The record is from RNAcentral.